This 877-nucleotide unclassified non-coding RNA is filed under the name Hevea brasiliensis (rubber tree). Lineage: Eukaryota; Viridiplantae; Streptophyta; Magnoliopsida; Malpighiales; Euphorbiaceae. The record is from RNAcentral.
AGACUAUACAUCCAAGAAUCUAUGAUCACAAGCUAAAUUAAGUAUUCACUACCACGUCAACGUAAUUUUGAAAUGCCCCAAACAAAAACUCCUCUUUCUAAACUGGACCGCUGCAAGGCCUCUUUGCUGCUGGUGUCCUUGCACGGCCUGCUUCUUCCACUAAUGCUUUCAGAAUGACUUCCAAAAGUUCAAACGUGAUUGCUUGAAUUCAUGACCAUGUCACCUUCCAACAUCCUAAGCACCUUUACGAAACAACACAGGUAUCAGUUAAUCAUGCAUCAGUAACCUUGUGCUAUGAACAACGGGUAACAUGAUAAAUUUAAAAGGGAAAUUAGAUGGCACUAAUUUAGCUAUUCACUACAAUCUAGAGGUAGACAAUGUCAGAUGGAUUGUUUAGUUUGUAUGCGUAUAAAUGCAGCAUAGACUGAUGCUACUUUUUGUGGAUAAAUUGUAAUUUAUGACAAAUAUUGGCUAUGAAAUAACUAAAGGGUUAGUCGAAGAAUGCAAAUAGCUGACAUAAUGAUUUGCAGCUAAACCAUAUGAGCCUAUCUCCUGCUUCAUCUUUCUGGCAAGGGCUUAUACAUACGCAAGUUGAUAUUAAUUUAUUACUAUAAUUCUGAAGGAUCAUUCUGCAGUUCAAUGAAAAACUUGGCAGCUCUGUUGGAAAACAGUAUUUUUGCACUCACAAGAAAAAUGGGCAAAUUGAAUACUCACAUGAAAACCAAUUUCUCAAGUAAACAUUUUGUAACACAUUCAUGAUUGUUCAAGAAAUCAUAUCAUUACCCUUGUUACAUCAAAAAGCAAGAGAAAGCUUGCUUCCUGGUGCAGUUUGUGUAACCAAGAACAACACCAGGGUCAAACAUGGCUUUAGUCUCAG